GGGGGACUAAGGUUUUCCUGAGCUGUGUGGCUAAUGACAUGUAUAGAUGCGGGACUGAUCCUUGUUUCAACACGGUUGUCCAAAGGCAAAUGAUUAGUUGCGAAACUGCUUAGCUACCCUGCAAAAACAGAUCAACCAGUACAGAAACACGUUGUUUUAGGCCAACUGUAACACCUAAAUUGUAAGAGAUCAUAUAAAAGGAGAAAAGUUAUUUUCCUACAUUUUAUGUGUAUGUUGAAUCUACUUAUCAUCACAUGUGACACUAGUACACAGAAGCUCUAUAGUGGCGGUUCUAAACCUAUUUACACAGGCGUUUUUCAGUACCGCCAGUGCUAGGGGUCAGUGGAAAUCAGCAUUUCCACUGGCGGUUAUUUUGGAACCGCCAGUGAAAAGUGCAUUUUCACUGGCGGUUUUCUUAAGGAACCGCCAGUGAAAAUUGCAUUUCCACUGGCGGCUGAAUAAAGAAAACCGCCAGUGGAAAUGCAUUUCCACUGGCGGUUUUAUAAAGCAAACCGCCAGUGGAAAUGCACUUUUCACUGGCGGUUUUCUUUAUUUAACCGCCAGUGGAAGUUUUCCCGCCUUUUUUCAAAAUUUCAAACAAUACUGAAUUAUAUAUAUAUUUAUUUACACACACACAAACAUAUAUAUAUAUAGAUCUAUAUUGAUAUUGAAAGCAACAUGAAAUUAAAUUCUAUCAUACAUUUAUAUACAUCAAAGUAUUCUGUUUACAACCAUAUAUGCUUCAUGCAUUCUAUACAUCAUAAGUUUUCACCUAAGCUCUAAUAACUAUCUCGGCUAAGAGAUAAUCUACUAAUUUCUGUUAGUAUUCUGAACUCUGGCAAAGCUAAUGUCCCGGAAGCAUCGUGAUAUUUUCCUUCUGCGGGAAUGACCUCUUUCAAUAUGAAUGUGCAGAGGUCCUCGACUAUGCCAUACAAUGCAGCUUCGGUCAAGUUCUCCGGGUUUCCUCGUUGAAAUUGCUGUAAAGGAAUUUUAUAAACAUCAUCUAUUUAUACUCAAUAAUAACACAUUUGCAUCUUUAAUGACAUAAAUACAUACUUGACUAUUACUAAUAAUACCUUGUCAGGGUUCGUGAUGUAUCGUCCGUUCACUCUCAUGAACUCGCACGCAUAGAAUCCACAUAGGACCGAUCCUUGUGGUUGCUUGUGGCACUACAUAACGGGAGAUUGGUUAUUUAGUUGCAACAUUGUGUAUGAUAUGUAUUCAUAAAAUCACAUACUUACCGGCCAGUGAUGAUGGAUGUCUAGUGGCACGCCUUUUUUCGACAGGUCGUACUUUCCACCUCUCAUCUUAUAGAAUCUAUAAGCCCUGUGAUCUCAAAUAGAAUCACCAUGUUAUUCUCAAAUUUUAAUCGAUAAAAGUAUGCAUGCAUAGAAAAGGCUUACAGCUCUAAGGUGCUGAGGAAUUCUGCAUAUGUCGAAGGGUCGAAGUUCAAGGAGUCGAGCACCAGCACCUUUCCAACCUUAGGAUAAAUGAGGAAGCAUAUCCAGUGGUCCCUGUACGAAUCAAAUUUGUGAUGCAUGUGUAUUGAAAUUAUUGAUUUUAUUUAUGCAAAAUCACACUUACUUAAAGUUGUACGGGGCUAUUAUGGCUUCCCUGUCUUGAAAUUGAAGCAUUGCAUGUCCUAUAUAGGUGGCGUAUCGAGCUUCAAAAUCCUUCUUCAUAUCCUUUAUACGCUUCUCAACUUCUUCGUCCGUCUUUCCCCGUAAUUCAUCGUUGUCUUUCCCGAUUCUAAAAGUGUGGCUUUCCUCGGAUAUAAAUAUUGGGUUGAGAUACCCAACCCUUUUACUGGCACUAGCAUUAGGCUUGGUACCGUAAAGAAUCUCCUGCUGAUCAUGUUGCAUUCUGCAAGUCACACGUGCAUGUCAGAUAUUGAAAUUUUAUACAACUCACUAAUAAUAACACACAUAUGUGGAAGUAUGAGCGACACUUACAAUGCAAACAUCGUUACAAGUUGCACGUCGAGUCUCUGAAGGUUCAUCAUUAACCACAUGUCCUCGAAUGUAACAACGGCCUUUUGGUCCGAACCAAUAAAAGCAUGGUCUGGUAUAUGCACACUGAUGGUGUCGAUGCCAACCGAUGAUGCCCGCAUGUACCAGUCAUGCAACCUUUUAACACCAGCCGGGACCUUUCUUAGUUUCUCAAGAGGUAGCAGAGGUCUGCCCGGCACAUAUUUUUUAGGCACGUUUUUGUAAUCUGCCUUAGUUGGCUUCUUUAUUUUUGCGGCCAUUGCCUCAGCCUUUUUUGCAGACUCCUCGUGCUUGGCCAAAUCAACAGUUUGUGACGUUAGGCUCCGUCCAAUCCCUUUCAAAAACCGAGCUGUGCCAGCAGUAGUAGCUUUACUCUUCUUUUUCUGAUACGGGGACACCAAUUUUGGAAUAGGAAGUUUAGAUUUCUUUGAUGGCCUUGGAUCCUUUGAUGGUUGUGGAGAAGGUGGAUCCCUUGAUGGUGGCGUAGACAGUGGGUCACCAAGAGGAUGGGGAGGAGAAGGUGGUGGAGCCCUGAAUGGUGAUGCUUGUGGCAGAGACGGUGGGUCAGAAAAAGGAUGAGGAGCAGCUUGUGAAGUUUGAGGAGGUGAGGAUGAUGGAUGUACAAUAGGAGCAAAAAUUUGAGAAGGCGGAGACGGUUGGGCCUGCGACGCCUGCGACGAAUUCGACCAAUCAAGCAAAUCGACAUCCCUUCGAGGCCAAAGGAUAAAAUUAUUGAUAGCUUGUCCAAGUUUCUCGAUACCUUCGGGCCCAGGGAUGUCUAGCAUGUCGUCCUCGGAUCCUUGGACGACCGACGUCACUUCUACUUUGCAAUAAUCAUCUGGAAUAUCGUUUCCAUGGAACUUACGUCCUGGGAUCGCAAGGCCUGUGGCUACUUUCUUUGUACGUUUAUUGUUAAUACCAUAUCUUAUAACCAGUGUGCACGCCACAGGCCUUGUGAUGUCAUCAACUGGAUAACGGUCCUUAUUUCCCGUUGAAGCAACAGAGCUUGGUAAUGUCGUACAAUCUGUGGAAGCCGGCGGUUGAGCUGCUGGAAUUAUUUGUAUUUGUGGAGUGGUCAUCUGUUGAACAGACAUCGCACUCGCCAACUGUUGCAUCAAUUCUGGAGGAGGAUUCGAUAGCAUUUGAGACAUCAUGGCUUUGAACUCUUUCUUGGCCUCCUCCUUAAAAUAAUCCGCCAUCUCUUCCUUGUAUCGAUCACGUUUCCUGUACAGACUUUCCCACUGUUGUCCGAAUCCUUCCUUCCAUCCUUCCUUAGACGAGAUUCCUCGUACACGGCCAGGAUGCUCAGGGUUACCGAGACCAGCCGUUAGGAUGUCUCUUUCCCUUUGUGGCUUAAAAGUUCCUUCGCUCUGCUUAGCUGCCAUUGUAUAUAUGUUUUUUGCCGCUUCUUCGACAAUGGGAUCAUCAAAAGAUACACCGGUCUCGGUUUCCCUUGGUUUUCUAGCACGGAGCCAAUUUGCCGCCCUUUCACCAAGUUGCUCGGACAGCGUCGACAACCCUGCGGCCUUCUUCUCGGCGUCUUCUUGUCUCCAUUUAGGAACCUGACACUUGUAACCACCUGUGCCUAGGUGGUGGCGGUACUUGUUCUUCUUUGAUAGUUCUGAAUUUGCCUCACUUAGAGAUAUGAAAUCAGGGCUGCUCCUCUGCUCUAGAAAUACUGCCCACUGACCUGCUGAGAUUUUAUAUUUUUUGGUCGGGUCCAGACCUUUCUUUGCAAACUUUGUGUUCAUCUCAGACCUCCAGUUUCGGAAAUUGAUUGCAAGCUGCUUCAUCGUGUAUUCCUUCACGAGUUCUUCUAAACCCCGAGGCAGAACGAACCUCAUUAAUAGCUUAUUCCAUAUUUGAUUCUUGACAUCAUCUGGCACAUCUCUCCACUGUCGUAUUGUUAUGUCAAGAUUAUCUCUAACUAAAAACCCAAGUGCAUUCCGGAACUUAGGUAGUGCCUCUUCCGGAGCUAGGGGCUGACCUUUCGGGCUCACGUCUGAGAUUUUGUAUGUUUUGUCGGGAAACUUGUUCAGCCCCCUGUCACCUCUUUUUCGAUCGCUCUGCUUCCUUUUCCUUGACGUCUCGGUUGUUGUCUUGGUCUGUUCCGGUGCGUCUUGGUUUCGUGCCACGGCUUCUUCGAGUAUCGCACGAAAUUCAGACACGACCUCCUAUUCAUGUAAUAAAAAGCACAAGAGAUCAUGCAUGUGAAAUCAGUAGGGUACACAUACGAAGCUAAAGAUGCGUACUUUUACCUCAGCUUCUUGUGGAUCAUAAGUAGGGUCACGUUGCAACUCACGGAGAGCGGCCCUAUCUAUGCUAGUGGUAGGAAAAGGGUCGCUAGGCGUUUCAUAUCCUUCACUGCUGGAUUGUUCUUGAGCAACACUCUUGUCCAUGUGCUCGGGCACUAAAUCUUGGUCCUUGAUUGGAGAACUCAUUGAGCUAUAUAUAUACAAAUACAUAAGCAAUAAUUAAAUACAUAUUAACACAUAUUAACGUAAGCAAUAAUUAAAUUCAUAUUAACAAAUAGUAUAAUUAAAUACAUCCUCAGUCACUAAACCCUUAACCCUAACCCUAAACCCUAACCCUAAACCCUUAACCCUAACCCUAACCCAAAACCCGAACCCUUAACCCAAAACCCGAACCCUUAACCCAAAACCCGAACCCUUAACCCAAAACCCGAACCCUUAACCCUAACCCUAACCCUAACACUAAACCCUAACCCUUAACCCUAACCCUAACCCUAACUAUAACCCUUAACCCUAACCCUAAACCCUUAACCCUAACCCUAACCCAAAACCCGAACCCUUAACCCAAAACCCGAACCCUUAACCCUAAACCCUAACCCUAACUAUAACCCUUAACCCUAACCCUAACCCUAACCCUAACCCAAAACCCGAACCCUUAACCCAAAACCCGAACCCUUAACCCUAAACCUAACCCUAACCCUAAACCCUAACCCUUAACCCUAACCGUAACCCUAACCCUAACCCUAAACCCUAACCCUUAACCCUAACCCUAACCCUAAACCCUAACCCUUAACCCUAACCCUAACCCUAACUAUAACCCUUAACCCUAACCCUAAACCCUUAACCCUAACCCUAACCCAAAACCCGAACCCUUAACCCAAAACCCGAACCCUUAACCCUAAACCCUAACCCUAACUAUAACCCUUAACCCUAACCCUAACCCUAACCCAAAACCUGAACCCUUAACCCAAAACCCUAACCCUAACCCUAAACCCUAACCCUUAACCCUAACCCUAACCCUAACCCUAACCCUUAACCAUAACCCUAACCCUAAACCGUAACCAUAUAGUAUCGUAUAGUCGUAUAGUAUCGUGUAGGACGGGGAGAGAGUCGCAUAGGACGUAUAAAGAGGGAGAGAGGGAGAAUCGUAUGGAUAUUAUCGAGUUACGUAUAGAGAGGGAGAGAGGGAGAGUCAUAUAGGACGAGGAGAGGGAGAGAGGGAGAGUCGCAUAGGACGUAUAGAGAGGGAGAGAGGGAGAGUCGUACGGAAAUUAUCGAGUUCAGAUCGAAUUCGGAUCGGAUCGGAUACGUAUAUUAUCGAGUUGUGACGGAUAAAAUUACAAUGUAUAUAUUCAACAUACAUUUGAACACAUAUGAACACACAUAUAUAUAUUGAACACAUACAUUUGAACACAUAUGAACACAUAUAUAUAUUGAACACAUACAUUUGAACACAUAUGAACACACAUAUGAAUACAAAUAAGUAUUGUAUGAAUACUCUCAUCUCCUCUCCUCUCUCUAUCUCUCUCCUCUCCCUCCUCUCUCUCUCUCACCCUCCUCUCCCUCCCUCUAUCUAUCUCCUCUCCCUCUAUCUCUCUCCCUCUCUCUAUCUCUCUCCUCUCCCUCCUCUCUCUCUCUCUCUCACCCUCCUCUCCCUCCCUCUAUCUAUCUCCUCUCCCUCUAUGAGAUAGAGGGAGGGAGAGGAGGGUGAGAGAGAGAGAGGAGGGAGAGGAGAGAGAUAGAGAGAGGGAGAGAGAGAUAGAGGGAGGGAGAGGAGGGUGAGAGAGAGAGAGGAGGGAGAGGAGAGAGAUAGAGAGAGGGAGAGAGCUCUCUCCCUCUCUCUAUCUCUCUCCUCUCCCUCCUCUCUCUCUCUCACCCUCCUCUCCCUCCCUCUAUCUCUCUCCCUCUCCCUCCUCUCUCUUCCCUCUCCCUCUCCUUCCUCUCUCUUCCUCCCUCUCGGCGGCGGCGGCGCGUGCGCCCUCCUCUCUCUCACUCUAUGCAGAGACGCGCGCAGGGCUCUCCCUCUCUUCCCUCUUCCUCCUCUCUCUUCCCUCUCACUCCUAGACCGAGACGGCGGCGGCGGCGGCGUGCGCCCGCGUGCGCGCGGCGGCGGCGCGCAUGGCGCCCGGCCGAGCCCGAGCGAUCACUCAACAUUGCCUUCUAGCUUUUAACAUCAACAGCUUUAGCACAGACCGGAGCGUCGUGAACUCUUUGGUACAGCCCUUAGACUCGUCGUACAAAGGCUCUUCUGCUGCCUUCUUCAGGGACUCCAUACCUUUCAUUAAGAACAUCGAUUGAUCUGUAUGACGACGCAACAUUGCCUCUAGCAACUCUGCAUCUUCCUCAUCCGUAACACUUGGCAGAACAUGAGGUCUAUCAUGUUCAUUUCCUCCAGCGUAACCAUGAUCAGUAACAUUUUGCACUACAUGUUCGCUCUGUGGAAGAGGUUGGUGUGUCUCGUGAACGAACUGAAAUCUGUCGUCGAUGUUCUCAGGGUUUCCAGUCGUAUAAGACGAAGAGCUACCCUCUCCAUGCUUUGUCCAAAUUGUGUAAUCCUUCAUAAAUCCUCGGCAUACCAGAUGAGAUAUGAUUUGUUCUGUGUCAUUAAAUACAGCAGCAUUUUUGCAGUCCAUGCAUGGACAAUAUAUGUGUUUUGUCUUUGUUCUCCAAGCAUGGUUUGUAGCGACAUCAAUAAACCUAUGGACCUCGGAUAUGUAUGAUGGAUCUAGCCUUGAUAAGUUAUACAUCCAGGAUGUCCUCUCCAUCACCACCUGUAUAAAAGUAACAUAAACACACAAGAACCAAAUAGAGAAAAUAACCUAGCUAUAGUUAUUGUCGGGAAGGAUGAAGGGGUGAAACCCUAUAUCCAAAAUGUGGCUAAAUUUGAGGAAAAUGAACAAAAAUUGGCAAGAGGAACAUAAAACCAAAUUUUCCUAGCCAUACUCUUCUCUCUAACACAUGGUGAAGGCCUAGUUCCAAAAUUGAGCAAAGAUGAACAAUAAUUGGCAAUUAAAACAUAAUUAAACCAACCUUUAAUAGCAACUAAUAAAAACAAUCUUAAUUACCAAACCUAUCUUCUUCUCUCUCCACACAACACAUGAACCAUUCAUUAAACAACUUAAUAUGUCAUGGAUAAACUGGAUUUGAGAACUAACCAUGAAAAAGGAGAGAGGAUAGACAAAAUCUAACCAUAUUAAACAACUUUAUUUAAGGGAAUAGAGAAAAUAACCUAGCUACACACUUUCUCUCUCAAAUGGUGAAACCCUAGAUCCAAAAUGUGGCUAAAAUUGAGCAAAAAUGAAUAAAAAUUGACAUUAGCAACAUAAACCAACCUUUCUUAGCAAUCUUCUUCCAAAAAAUGAAGAUCAAAACCUCUCCCCAUGUAUUCUGUGAAAUCUGGACCUCCAAAAUCGCCUCAAUGGAAGUUGGCUGCGAGCAUACAGUUCACUGUCGGGGGAAGAAGAGGGGUAUUUAUAACAGACAGUUCAAUGGCGGUUGGCUUAAGAAACCGCCAGUGAAAAUUGAUUUCCACUGGCGGUUGUCUUAACACAACCGCCAGUGGAAAUAGGAUGUUUCCACUGGCGGUUAAGUUAAGACAACCGCCAGUGGAAAUCAAUUUUCACUGGCGGUUGGUGUUACACAACCGCCAGUGGAAACAUCCUAUUUCCACUGGCGGUUGCGUUAAGACAACCGCCAGUGGAAAUUGGUUUCCACUGGCGGUUUUUAAAACCGGGCCCACCUGUUUCUUUCACUGACGUUUGAUAACGGAAACCGCCAGUGAAAAGUUGAACGUGCCGCAGGCUUUGAGCUCUUUUCUACUAGUGUGAACACCAUAUUCAAAAACAAAUAAUUAAUAAAAGAAUAUAUGCCCUUAAAUUAUGCAUCCAUGCUGGAUAUUAUUUGUGUGUGUGCAUAUUAUGACAAAAUAAAAUAAAAAAAAUGUGACAAGAAAUAUAUUAAAGUCUAAAGUGGAAUUUAAAAUUAAAAAAAGAAAUUGUAGAAUUUAGAAAGGAAAAGAAAACAAAAAAAAAGAAUGAUGAAGCCUCACAUGUACGUGAAAUCCCAUGGCCGCUUGGCCACUAGCCCAAAACUUGGACAUAGUUUUUUUUUUAUUUCUCUAAUCCCCUAGCCGAAGAUGACUUUAUCCCGUCAUUCAUGACGUCUUCUGGGCAUGCCGCAUACAUGCUUCCAUGGCCACCUGCGGGUAGGACCGGUGGUCUAGACUCAUCUCUUGUGCACGCCUGCUUCCUUUUCCUGGCUGUCGAGAGCAUUACCGUGUCGCUGUCGUGUGGGCCUGCACUAACAGGUUCGUCUUCUUUACCGAAUCUGCCGUAGACUCCGCACAAAAAGAUAGGAUCGGCUGUAACCGCCUCGCGAAGAACGGAUCUUGGGGGCUUGGGGCCGUUUUGGCUGAUACACCAUCACCUCUCGGUGCAUAAAAGCCGGGUAGCACUAGCCCCUUACUCAUACAAAGGAGUCGAAGCCUGAGCAUAUGAGAGUCGUAGUAGUUCUGCGAAGAAGCUUGACGCCAUGGCCAUCCAGUUAAACUAUCCAACCAGGAAAUAUCUUGUCAAAUCUCACGUCCAGUCCUCCACUCCUCUCUCCUUUAGUCUCUAUACGCCCACGUCGUCGCCCACCUGGUCAAUAGCUUUCACGUGCGAUUACCCAAUCUCGACCUCGGCGGCUCGGCCUCGAUCGUACCGGUCAGCUUAACCCUCCCGCUCCGCUGUCGUGCGUUCUCCUGUCACCAAACUUCAGCCGGUGCAUGGGGACGUUCCCUGGAGGCCGUGGAUUGUUCGUGGGGGUGUCCCUGCCCAUCGAUCAGUAAUCAGGACGCUGGGAUUUUGUUGGCCGCGGUGGCGUUGGCUCGGCGGGCAGUGGUAGCCGUGGCCGCUGCGUCAAAGUCAAGCGAGAAGGAGAGCAGGGAGAGAAAGAGAGCUUGUUGGUGCUGAAAGCGUUUCGCGUCUGCACUGUUGUCCAGAAUGUCGUGGCUAACGCUCCAAAUCCUGGUGAGUACCUUUCCAUACGCUUCGUCCGUAUCUCCUCUACGUCUAGCACCACUUUUCAGGGAGUUUAGCGCACUCGGGCGAUGAGUUGCGUCUCACCAGUAGACCUCCGCCGUAGGGAAUGGCGGAGCCGCCGUGGCCGCGUGCGGAGGGUGGAAGAUGGCCACUAGCCGUUGAUCUGAUGAUGGGCGCCCAAUAUUAGAAGGUAGAUACCCCUUAGGUUAGGAAGAACCUGGACCCUAGAUCUCGCGAUGUACGGUAGAAAUCUGAUCGCGGGUUCAUUAAACCGAGACCGUCGGGUUCAGAUCCGGGGGCUAUGGCUGCAUACCGGUUCGCGGUCUGUUUCUGACCUUAGAUAUCAGAUCCAAUGGCCAGAUCGAGCUCGUGUUUAUGCCGCCACGAAACUUUGCAGAUGAGUCCCUAGGGUUUUGCUUUAUUAACCCGCCGUCCACCUCGGGUCAGGGUUGAGUCUGGUCGAUUUUGCGAAUUAAACCUCGAGCUUCUUAGUAAAUGACGCACAGUCCAGAUAACAGAGAAACUAGAUAAUUAAUAUUAGAAAUUGAUUUUUAGUAUAAAAAUAAAUCUUAAAACUUGUUUAAUUCAUAUUUAAUUCAUUUUAACUCCAAAUUAAUUCAUUUCAGUGGCAUUAUUUUUUUUAAUAUUGUUUAUCACUUAGUAAAUUUGUUUAGCCAUGAAACUUGAACACAUGAGCUAUGCUUUUGUAGGUACUCAAUAACUUCGGAAAUACAUAAUUUAAUAACCGUAAAACCAAAUUUAGUGAUUCUUGUACCUACAAUCUCGUAGCGACGCGUAGAUUAUUAUUACGCAGUUUAUUCUUAGGUUUGGUGUGAUGUUAAUUCUAUAUAUACAUUGUUCGUUUGUAUUGCUACGACUAGCGUGAGGUCACGAGGAUCUGAAGAUCAUCCUGGUACCUGGAAUCUCAAGUCCCAGGCAAGUUGUGCCCUUGAUCACUUCUUUUUACCUACUCAUGUUCUGAUUAAUCAUAAUGAUCUGCAUAGGUUAAUUUUGAUGGGACCCAAUAGGUUACCCUAGUUUGAUUAUCUUUAUACCUUGUUUACCACUGAACUUUUUGGGUAGUACUUGCUAGUGCUUUAUGUGGUUUUGGGUAUGAAGAUACAUUAUUCAUGAUUACACUUUUAUUAUCAGUUUAUUAUUUCUGUUCAUGAUAAGAUCAUUAUGUUAAUUGGAACAUGGAGCGACCACCCGGGAAAACAGUGCUACCACAAGGGUUUAAUGGGACGCCCUUGGCUGAUUAAUUAGGAAAGCUAGUGGAAGACUACCUUACCUGAAAGGGGCAAGGGCAGUAGGGGAGUGGUCAGUGUAGGGAGGCCCUCGGGAGGAUUUUGCUGCGAUGGCGGUCCUGCAAGGGAUUCCUGCAUUGGAGCUUCCUAUAAACUGUAGCGGGUUUUCUGAAGCUAGUGGAACUUUGUAAAGGCCUCGUAGUGUUACCCUGCCUCGCCUCCUCGGUAGAGGUGUAUGGGAAGUCGCGAUCCCUUGGCAGAUGGGUAACAUGACUUGUGGGUAAAGAUGCGCAACCUCUGCAGAGUGUAAAACUGGUAUACUAGCCGUGCUCACGGUCAAGAGCAGCUCGGACCCUCACAUGAUUAAUUAUGGAACUUAAAUUCAAUUUGUCAUAUGCAUUGCAUUGCAGGUGAUGUUGUUACUUUGUUCUACUACUUAAUUGGGUUGGUAUUUACUUAUACUUAGUAACUGCUAAUAAAAUUUUGACCAACUUUAAAAGCAAUGCUCAGCUCUAACCAUCCUCUUUGGUAAGCCUUACACUUCACAUGAACUCCCACCUUUGGCGAGUUCAUUCACAUUAUUCCCCACAACUUGUUGAGCGAUGAACGUAUGUGAGCUCACUCUUGCUGUCUCACACCCCCCCACAGGUCAAGAACAGGUACCGCAUGAUGAUGGGCGUGGAGGAUGCUGUGGCGAGUUCGUGAGAGAUCUAGGCCGUCGUCUCCCAGUCAACUUUGGGUUGCUGGACCGUUGUCUCCUUAUAAUGUAAUUAUUUAUUUUGUAUAGAACUCCUGUUAUAUAGUAAAGAUGUGACAUUCGAUCCUGUGCCAUGAUUCAUCAUAUGUGUGAGACUUGGUCCUAGCACACCUGGUGAUUAUGUUCGCGCCCGGGCUUUGGACCCCUAAAAUCCGGGUGUGACACCAACUGAGGAGUUCCUAGAGUUUUGCAACAAAUCACCCGCUAACAAAGUGGUUACCUUUAUGUCAGUUUUUGCGCAUUGCGCUUCUCAACCAUCUGCUGUGAAUCCAAACACCCCCGGCUGGCUAUUUUUUUCUCAUCUAGCAUGCAUGCAGACAAUCU
This 11589-nucleotide long non-coding RNA is filed under the name Zea mays. Its description in RNAcentral is "long non-coding RNA (ZMAY_LNC004024)". The record is from RNAcentral. Lineage: Eukaryota; Viridiplantae; Streptophyta; Magnoliopsida; Poales; Poaceae.